UGGGGAAUAUUGGACAAUGCGGGAAACCGUGAUCCAGCAAUGCCGCGUGAGUGAAGAAGGCCUUAGGGUUGUAAAGCUCUUUUACCAGGGAUGAUAAUGACAGUACCUGGAGAAUAAGCCCCGGCUAACUCCGUGCCAGCAGCCGCGGUAAUACGGAGGGGGCUAGCGUUAUUCGGAAUUACUGGGCGUAAAGCGCGCGUAGGUGGCCAAUCAAGUCAGAGGUGAAAUCCCGGGGCUUAACCCCGGAACUGCCUUUGAAACUGAAUGGCUAGAAUCUUGGAGAGGUGAGUGGAAUUCCGAGUGUAGAGGUGAAAUUCGUAGAUAUUCGGAAGAACACCAGUGGCGAAGGCGACUCACUGGACAAGUAUUGACACUGAGGUGCGAAAGCGUGGGGAGCAAACAGGAUUAGAUACCCCCGUAGUCC
Molecule: ribosomal RNA, 424 nt
Filed under: uncultured prokaryote
Description: bacterial SSU rRNA
Rfam family: Bacterial small subunit ribosomal RNA
Source: RNAcentral